RNAcentral lists this ribosomal RNA (301 nucleotides) under uncultured bacterium. Its description in RNAcentral is "partial 16S ribosomal RNA". It matches the Rfam family "Bacterial small subunit ribosomal RNA", at positions 509 to 807 of the family's 1533-position model. The record is from RNAcentral.
CAGUAGCCGCGGUAAUACAGAGGGUGCAAGCGUUAAUCGGAUUUACUGGGCGUAAAGCGUGUGUAGGUGGCUGUUCAAGUCGGUUGUGAAAGCCCUGGGCUCAACCUGGGAAUUGCUUCCGAGACUGAGCGGCUAGAGUACGGUAGAGGGCGGUGGAAUUUCCGGUGUAGCGGUGAAAUGCGUAGAUAUCGGAAGGAACACCAAUGGCGAAGGCAGCCGCCUGGGCCUGUACUGACACUGAGACACGAAAGCGUGGGGAUCAAACAGGAUUAGAUACCCCGGUAGUCCCUGUCUCUUAUAC